Molecule: small nuclear RNA, 219 nt
Filed under: Oryctolagus cuniculus (rabbit)
Lineage: Eukaryota; Metazoa; Chordata; Mammalia; Lagomorpha; Leporidae
Description: 7SK RNA
Rfam family: 7SK RNA
About the family: 7SK was discovered as an abundant small nuclear RNA in the mid-70s but a possible function has only recently been suggested. Two independent studies have found that 7SK RNA binds the CDK9/cyclin T complex (known as elongation factor P-TEFb).
Source: Rfam by way of RNAcentral
GUGAGGGGAUUGGGCUGCGACAUCUGUCACCCCACUGUUCGCCAGGGUUGAUUCGGCUGAUCUGGCUGGCUAGCAGGUGUCCCCUUCCCCGCUAGAGGGGGACCAGUAUUUGGUCAAGGGUAUAUGAAUAGCAGCGCUCCCCUGCUAGAACCUCCAAAUAAAAUACGGUUUUUCUGCUGGACUUCUCUUACAUAACAACACCAGCAGUGGCAGUCAUUG